This 1465-nucleotide ribosomal RNA is filed under the name Lactiplantibacillus plantarum. RNAcentral's name for it is "Lactobacillus plantarum 16S ribosomal RNA". It matches the Rfam family "Bacterial small subunit ribosomal RNA". The record is from RNAcentral. Lineage: Bacteria; Bacillati; Bacillota; Bacilli; Lactobacillales; Lactobacillaceae.
GGCGGCGUGCCUAAUACAUGCAAGUCGAACGAACUCUGGUAUUGAUUGGUGCUUGCAUCAUGAUUUACAUUUGAGUGAGUGGCGAACUGGUGAGUAACACGUGGGAAACCUGCCCAGAAGCGGGGGAUAACACCUGGAAACAGAUGCUAAUACCGCAUAACAACUUGGACCGCAUGGUCCGAGUUUGAAAGAUGGCUUCGGCUAUCACUUUUGGAUGGUCCCGCGGCGUAUUAGCUAGAUGGUGGGGUAACGGCUCACCAUGGCAAUGAUACGUAGCCGACCUGAGAGGGUAAUCGGCCACAUUGGGACUGAGACACGGCCCAAACUCCUACGGGAGGCAGCAGUAGGGAAUCUUCCACAAUGGACGAAAGUCUGAUGGAGCAACGCCGCGUGAGUGAAGAAGGGUUUCGGCUCGUAAAACUCUGUUGUUAAAGAAGAACAUAUCUGAGAGUAACUGUUCAGGUAUUGACGGUAUUUAACCAGAAAGCCACGGCUAACUACGUGCCAGCAGCCGCGGUAAUACGUAGGUGGCAAGCGUUGUCCGGAUUUAUUGGGCGUAAAGCGAGCGCAGGCGGUUUUUUAAGUCUGAUGUGAAAGCCUUCGGCUCAACCGAAGAAGUGCAUCGGAAACUGGGAAACUUGAGUGCAGAAGAGGACAGUGGAACUCCAUGUGUAGCGGUGAAAUGCGUAGAUAUAUGGAAGAACACCAGUGGCGAAGGCGGCUGUCUGGUCUGUAACUGACGCUGAGGCUCGAAAGUAUGGGUAGCAAACAGGAUUAGAUACCCUGGUAGUCCAUACCGUAAACGAUGAAUGCUAAGUGUUGGAGGGUUUCCGCCCUUCAGUGCUGCAGCUAACGCAUUAAGCAUUCCGCCUGGGGAGUACGGCCGCAAGGCUGAAACUCAAAGGAAUUGACGGGGGCCCGCACAAGCGGUGGAGCAUGUGGUUUAAUUCGAAGCUACGCGAAGAACCUUACCAGGUCUUGACAUACUAUGCAAAUCUAAGAGAUUAGACGUUCCCUUCGGGGACAUGGAUACAGGUGGUGCAUGGUUGUCGUCAGCUCGUGUCGUGAGAUGUUGGGUUAAGUCCCGCAACGAGCGCAACCCUUAUUAUCAGUUGCCAGCAUUAAGUUGGGCACUCUGGUGAGACUGCCGGUGACAAACCGGAGGAAGGUGGGGAUGACGUCAAAUCAUCAUGCCCCUUAUGACCUGGGCUACACACGUGCUACAAUGGAUGGUACAACGAGUUGCGAACUCGCGAGAGUAAGCUAAUCUCUUAAAGCCAUUCUCAGUUCGGAUUGUAGGCUGCAACUCGCCUACAUGAAGUCGGAAUCGCUAGUAAUCGCGGAUCAGCAUGCCGCGGUGAAUACGUUCCCGGGCCUUGUACACACCGCCCGUCACACCAUGAGAGUUUGUAACACCCAAAGUCGGUGGGGUAACCUUUUAGGAACCAGCCGCCUAAGGUGGGAC